GACGAACGCUGGCGGCGUGUUUAACACAUGCAAGUCGAGCGGAAAGGCCACUUCGGUGGUACUCGAGCGGCGAACGGGUGAGUAACACGUGAGUAAUCUGCCCCUGGCUUUGGGAUAGCCACCGGAAACGGUGAUUAAUACCGGAUACGACCACUUCUCGCAUGGGAUGGUGGUGGAAAGUUUUUUCGGCCAGGGAUGUGCUCGCGGCCUAUCAGCUUGAUGGUGAGGUAAUGGCUCACCAUGGCUUCGACGGGUAGCCGGCCUGAGAGGGUGACCGGUCACACUGGGACUGAGACACGGCCCAAACUCCUACGGGAGGCAGCAGUGGGGAAUAUUGGACAAUGGGCGGAAGCCUGAUCCAGCAACGCCGCGUGAGGGAUGACGGCCUUCGGGUUGUAAACCUCUUUCAGCAGGGACGAAGCGCAAGUGACGGUACCUGCAGAAGAAGCACCGGCCAACUACGUGCCAGCCGCCGCAGUAA
This 481-nucleotide ribosomal RNA is filed under the name uncultured bacterium. RNAcentral describes it as "partial 16S ribosomal RNA". It matches the Rfam family "Bacterial small subunit ribosomal RNA", at positions 28 to 523 of the family's 1533-position model. The record is from RNAcentral.